Molecule: ribosomal RNA, 240 nt
Filed under: uncultured bacterium
Lineage: Bacteria
Description: partial 16S ribosomal RNA
Rfam family: Bacterial small subunit ribosomal RNA
Source: RNAcentral
AGGCGGAGCAAAACACAAAACACAGUCUCAGUUCAGAUUGUAGGCUGAAACUCGCCUAUAUGAAGUCGGAAUUGCUAGUAAUCGCGGAUCAGCAUGCCGCGGUGAAUACGUUCCCGGGCCUUGUACACACCGCCCGUCACACCAUGAGAGUCGAUAACACCCGAGGCCUGUAGUCCAACAGCAAUGAGGACGCAGUCGAAGGUGGGAUUGAUAAUUAGGGUGAAGUCGUAACAAGGUACC